RNAcentral lists this ribosomal RNA (484 nucleotides) under uncultured bacterium. RNAcentral describes it as "partial 16S ribosomal RNA". It matches the Rfam family "Bacterial small subunit ribosomal RNA", at positions 30 to 507 of the family's 1533-position model. The record is from RNAcentral.
AUUGAACGCUGGCGGCAGGCCUAACACAUGCAAGUCGAGCGGAUGAAGGGAGCUUGCUCCUGGAUUCAGCGGCGGACGGGUGAGUAAUGCCUAGGAAUCUGCCUGGUAGUGGGGGAUAACGUCCGGAAACGGGCGCUAAUACCGCAUACGUCCUGAGGGAGAAAGUGGGGGAUCUUCGGACCUCACGCUAUCAGAUGAGCCUAGGUCGGAUUAGCUAGUUGGUGGGGUAAAGGCCUACCAAGGCGACGAUCCGUAACUGGUCUGAGAGGAUGAUCAGUCACACUGGAGCUGAGACACGGUCCAGACUCCUACGGGAGGCAGCAGUGGGGAAUAUUGGACAAUGGGCGAAAGCCUGAUCCAGCCAUGCCGCGUGUGUGAAGAAGGUCUUCGGAUUGUAAAGCACUUUAAGUUGGGAGAAAGGGCAGUAAGUUAAUACCUUGCUGUUUUGACGUUACCAACAGAAUAAGCACCGGCUAACUUCGUG